Long non-coding RNA from Triticum aestivum (bread wheat), 2973 nucleotides. RefSeq lists it as uncharacterized. NCBI's taxonomy places the organism in Eukaryota, Viridiplantae, Streptophyta, Magnoliopsida, Poales, Poaceae. The transcript is spliced from 13 exons. The record is from RefSeq and is a predicted model, not a curated record.
GCCCCCGCAACGCCCGUCGCCGCCUCCUCUCCUGCCGCCGCCGCCGCCUCCUCUCCUGCCGCCGCCGCCGCCUCCUCUCCUGCCGCCGCCGCCGCCGCCUCCUCUUCGUCGGUGCUAUCGAAGCCUGGGCUACGUGAGCGCGCGAGCCGCUGGUGAUGCUCGAGGCGUGACCGUUGGGCCGGGGACAGGUGCGCGCGCUCGCCGCGACGGGAACGAGAGUUGUCCCCACUCCUUCUGUUCCCCAUCGCCGGCCUCCUCUCAGCCUUGGCCUCGUUGCUCACGGGAGAGAGAGAGAGAGAGAGAGAGAGGAGGAGAAGGAGGCGGCGGCGGCCGCGGCGGCCAGAAGGAAUGAGGGGGUCGGGGCGUUGGUUCUCCCCGACACCAUCUGGCCUUCUCCCCGUCUCAGUCGUGUGGUCUCGACGACGCCGCCCUCACGCUCCUUCUCCUCCGCGUCGACAGGACUCUCUCUAGCCUCUCGCUCCACCUCCUCGCACACUCCUGCAGAUUAUCUUGGCAAUCAAGCCAACAAAUCAAAAGGAGACAAAGGAAAAUGUGUGACCAAAGGAGUCAAGCAAAAGCACACCAAGCAAAUCACCACCAUUGAAGUUUCAGCAUCUGUUUUUCGUAGUUGGACUAAAUCCGAUUAGAAGGAGAUGGUGCCCAGCGAUGGGGUGCUUGGCCGCUGCCGCCGCCUAGGAUGACCUCUUCGUCGGUGCUAUCGGGAGCCUGUGCUACGUGCCUGACGAGAACUCCGCGAGCAGGCACGUAACCCAUCUUGCUGGCCUUUUCGUUUGUGUGCAGAGGAGCAAGUUUUGGUUGGAAUUGAAAUUCCUGAAAGCAAGGCAACUGAAUGGAUUAAAGCUUGAAAGCUCAUACCUGGAUGGUUUUUGUCACACCAAAAUGAAGUAUAAGAAAACCUUAUAAAAGAAGAAACAUACCUGUCUGGGCGUCCUUGCUAUCGUCGUUUCCAACCCGUCCGCAGGGUCUGCUGCUCUUGGGUGCCCUUUUGGGUAAUGGUCUAGCUGUUUCCUUGCAUCCAUGUUGCUGCAGGGUUGUAGUCGUACCCGUGGCCAUGGUUAUUACUCAUCAACUUGGUCGUGCUCAUGUGGACUAUUUAUUUCCAACAACGCCAUCAAACCAUCAGAGGUUCCUCGCCGGUUUCCUUUUGCUGCACCUUUGUUUGGUUGCUCUAGGGUGAGAGAACCUCUCUGCGUCUGUAUGCUGAUUUGGUCAUGGAAUUCGAGCCUCAUUUACUGCACCUCCGGCAAUGAAGGAUCAGUACACGCCCAAUCUUUCGUGGCCUCCUCUCACAAGAACUUCUACAUCGCUGGUUGGAUUGGAUAUUCACAGAACUUGAUAUCAUAUACUUUGGGCAUUGCUGAAACAACUGAAUGUCAAAGCUACAUGCUUUCUUUUGAUUGUUGUAGCCAUCCUUCAUCGCCAGAGCCAUGGGGUGCCUAUGGGCUGUCCAUUUGUGUGGAUGUAUUUAGCUGUGGCGUUUAUGGCAGCUGCAGCAGCUUGUCAAUUAGUUCUUAGUCAAGGACAGUUAUAUGUGUGGUGUGAAGAUGGUCGUUCUUCAAUUUGAAAGUAAACAAGCGGCCUCCAUUAAGGUCUACCGACAAUCAUGUAGGCAAUGCGUAGUCUUAACCAUAGUUGCCAAGUUCCCGGUUCGAGCGGGUCUAGGUACGGGAACGAGGGUCAAGGAUCGCUGGUUGCCAAAACUAGGGAUCGGUUUGGGUAUACAUCUCUGUAACGGCCGUUCGACGGCGGGAACGCGAUCCUGUUAAAUCGGGGAUGAUGAGCCCGGGUCGACCAGUCUGAUCCUUCCAAGUAUUGUAUAUGGAAAGCAAAAACAGAUUAAGGAAAGAGUGCAAUAUCGUUCAAGGCAAGAGCAAAUUAAGGAAGUCCAUCCGGUAUUAGAGGACCACUGUUAUUUUACCUCCUUUCUGGCCUUCUGUUCCUAAAUUAUCUCGCCUACAGUUACGUCCACGGUGUUUUUUUUAUUCCUUGUACCUGCAACGUCCGGUCUUCAUGGGAAUGCGUACCAGCCGUUGAAUCCUAUCGACCCGCACUCGAUCCCGACCCUCGAUUGGGGUCGAUGAACCCGGUACAUGGGACACGGCGUCGACCCGCGUUCCCGGCUACUAUGGUCUUAACGCGAGGAGGUGCCAAGAUACACGAGGGGUUGGAGCAGGACUACAGGAGGAGUUUGGAUUACUCUGGGCAAUUCUCUCCGGAGUUGAGAGUACUCUGAGCACUGCCCAUAGCGUGCCACGACGACCGUUUGCACUAUAGGUGCCUCGCGACGCAGUCCUCAUAUGAGAAGUGGGGAUUCCACCAGCAUUCUCACAAAUAGGUACUAUUCAUUUUGCUUCAGAGAGAUGUCGGUUGAUGCUGCAUUUAACUGGAUUUGGAAAGCCAGGUGCAAUAUGAAAUGGAAAGGUGUUCGCCUGGCUUCUCUUGGCUGACAGGCUGAAUAUGAAUAUGCUACGCAGGAGGCACUACAGAGUUGCUAAUGACUAUACAUGCCUGUUGUGUGAUAAUCCUCCCGAGGAAACCCUGGCAAUUCGCUAGGGUGACUUGGCCAAACUCUGAAUGUAGACUUGAGAUGUUGCACAUGGGAAAACAAACUUGGCACAAACCCCUGUUCAUGGAAACUUUCAUUGUUGCCGUAUGGGGAUCUGGAUGGAGAGAAAUGACAAGUCCUUCAGAGGAAUGCCCAUGCAAGUAUUAUCCAACAAUAACAAGUCUACUUAUUCAUGCAUGCACACCCUCAGAAGACCACAGUCGGCCUAAGAAAUCUUCUCUGCUCAAACUAUGCAUGCUUAUCUAUAUAAGGCAUCUCUGCCUAUGUUGCUUGCUUUUUGAAAGCAUUGUAAAUGGCUAUCAAAACUUCUUAUAAUGCUAUGUAUCAGCAUCAUACCGAAGUAUAUAUUUCUUUAUGACUAAAUAUUCUGACGAGCUUGCUUCAAA